RNAcentral lists this long non-coding RNA (559 nucleotides) under Homo sapiens (human). Its description in RNAcentral is "non-protein coding lnc-TFRC-7:1". The record is from RNAcentral. Lineage: Eukaryota; Metazoa; Chordata; Mammalia; Primates; Hominidae.
GUGGUGCGCAGGCGCAGUCUGCGCAGGGACUGGCGGGACUGCGCGGCGGCGACUACAGACGUGUCGGGGGUCCGGGGCCUGUCGCGGUUGCCAAGCGCUCGGCGCCUGGCGCUGGCGCUGGCCAAGGCGUGGCCAACAGUGUUGCAAACAGGAACCCGAGGUGUUCACUUCACUGUUGAAGGAACGAGAGGGCAUCUGCUAAAGUUUCAGAUUCCAUUUCUGCUCAGUAUCCAGUAGUGGAUCAUGAAUUUGAUGCAGUGGUGGUAGGCGCUGGAGGGGCCGGCUUUGCGAGCUGCAUUUGGCCUUUCCGAGGCAGAGUUUGAUACAGCAUGUGUUACCAAGCUGUUUCCUACCAGGUCACACACUGUUGCAGCGCAGGUAAGAGAAAGGUGCCCCACUGUGCUCCCACUCCGUGCAGGUCCCGCGCAGCCUCGCACUUUCUACCUGGGCAGCCUCCUGCCUCCUCCCCGUGCUCCAGCCACUUGGCCUCUUGCUGUGCCUUACUCAGCUCACCCAUUCAGGGGUCUCUCCCUGGAGCCUCUUCCCUGGGGACUUUGAA